This 223-nucleotide unclassified non-coding RNA is filed under the name Hevea brasiliensis (rubber tree). The record is from RNAcentral. Lineage: Eukaryota; Viridiplantae; Streptophyta; Magnoliopsida; Malpighiales; Euphorbiaceae.
GUUUCAUUGAACAUUGAAGAAUCCCAUAGUUAUGAGAAAAUCAUGAAACUGAUUACCAAAAUCUUAGGAAUGAUUUAUCAUUCAUUAUAGCAUUCCAUAUAUAUUAUGAAUCUUCCAUUAUGAAUAUAGAGUUCUAUGUAUAAUGCAAGACAAGCAACACAAGUGAAUAAAAUAUAGCCCUUUUAAGGUUUUGUGUCUGUGGAUGCAUGCUCUUCAUAGCUGA